This 633-nucleotide ribosomal RNA is filed under the name Arthrobacter sp. Se2Ps_2433. RNAcentral's name for it is "bacterial SSU rRNA". It matches the Rfam family "Bacterial small subunit ribosomal RNA", at positions 382 to 1024 of the family's 1533-position model. The record is from RNAcentral. RNAcentral also lists the same sequence under 2 other names. Lineage: Bacteria; Bacillati; Actinomycetota; Actinomycetes; Micrococcales; Micrococcaceae.
CCUGAUGCAGCGACGCCGCGUGAGGGAUGACGGCCUUCGGGUUGUAAACCUCUUUCAGUAGGGAAGAAGCGAAAGUGACGGUACCUGCAGAAGAAGCGCCGGCUAACUACGUGCCAGCAGCCGCGGUAAUACGUAGGGCGCAAGCGUUAUCCGGAAUUAUUGGGCGUAAAGAGCUCGUAGGCGGUUUGUCGCGUCUGCCGUGAAAGUCCGGGGCUCAACUCCGGAUCUGCGGUGGGUACGGGCAGACUAGAGUGAUGUAGGGGAGACUGGAAUUCCUGGUGUAGCGGUGAAAUGCGCAGAUAUCAGGAGGAACACCGAUGGCGAAGGCAGGUCUCUGGGCAUUAACUGACGCUGAGGAGCGAAAGCAUGGGGAGCGAACAGGAUUAGAUACCCUGGUAGUCCAUGCCGUAAACGUUGGGCACUAGGUGUGGGGGACAUUCCACGUUUUCCGCGCCGUAGCUAACGCAUUAAGUGCCCCGCCUGGGGAGUACGGCCGCAAGGCUAAAACUCAAAGGAAUUGACGGGGGCCCGCACAAGCGGCGGAGCAUGCGGAUUAAUUCGAUGCAACGCGAAGAACCUUACCAAGGCUUGACAUGGGCCGGACCGGGCUGGAAACAGUCCUUCCCCUUUGGG